AUAGGAGCUGACGCCUGCCCGGUGCUGGAAGGUUAAGGGGAUCUGUUAGAGCAAUCGAAGCAGUGAACUUAAGCCCCAGUAAACGGCGGCCGUAACGAUAACAGUACUAAGGUAGCGAAAUCCCUGGUAGGGGAAGUUCCGACGCGGACGGAAGGAGUAAUGAGUUGGGCACCGGAUCGACAACAGAGUCGGGGAGAUGGGAAUGCCGGUGAAGAUGCCGGAUGCUGGCGACAGGACGGAAAGACCCCAUGGUGCGUUACUGUAGCUUGACAUUGGGUUUUGGGACUACAUGUAGAGGAUAGGUGGGAGGGUUUGAAACCAGGACGCCAGUUUUGGCGGAGCCAUCCUUGGGAUACCACCCUUGUAGUACUGGGACUCUAACC
Molecule: ribosomal RNA, 383 nt
Filed under: Clostridioides difficile
Lineage: Bacteria; Bacillati; Bacillota; Clostridia; Peptostreptococcales; Peptostreptococcaceae
Description: bacterial LSU rRNA
Rfam family: Bacterial large subunit ribosomal RNA
Source: RNAcentral